RNAcentral lists this transfer RNA (77 nucleotides) under Candidatus Phycorickettsia trachydisci. RNAcentral's name for it is "tRNA-Met". It matches the Rfam family "tRNA". Rfam says of the family: Transfer RNA (tRNA) molecules are approximately 80 nucleotides in length. Lineage: Bacteria; Pseudomonadati; Pseudomonadota; Alphaproteobacteria; Rickettsiales; Rickettsiaceae. The record is from RNAcentral.
GGGUCUGUAGUUCAGCGGUUAGAGCACCUCGCUCAUAACGAGCGUUGUCGCAGGUUCGAAUCCUGCCAGACCCACCA